This 253-nucleotide ribosomal RNA is filed under the name uncultured bacterium. RNAcentral's name for it is "partial 16S ribosomal RNA". It matches the Rfam family "Bacterial small subunit ribosomal RNA", at positions 524 to 776 of the family's 1533-position model. The record is from RNAcentral.
UACGGAGGGUGCGAGCGUUGUCCGGAAUCAUUGGGCGUAAAGGGCGCGUAGGUGGCCCGGUCAGUUCGUGGUGAAAGCCCCGGGCUCAACCUGGGAAUGGCAGUGGAUACUGGCAAGCUAGAGUGCGGUAGAGGGUAGUGGAAUUCCCGGUGUAGCGGUGAAAUGCGUAGAGAUCGGGAGGAACACCAGUGGCGAAGGCGGCUACCUGGACCAGCACUGACACUCAGGCACGAAAGCGUGGGGAGCAAACAGG